Molecule: ribosomal RNA, 204 nt
Filed under: uncultured bacterium
Lineage: Bacteria
Description: partial 16S ribosomal RNA
Rfam family: Bacterial small subunit ribosomal RNA
Source: RNAcentral
UACGAAGGGGGCUAGCGUUGCUCGGAAUGACUGGGCGUAAAGGGCGCGUAGGCGGCUCACAGAGUCGGACGUGAAAUUCCUGGGCUUAACCUGGGGGCUGCGUUCGAUACCUGUGGACUAGAGUGGGGAAGAGGGUCGUGGAAUUCCCAGUGUAGAGGUGAAAUUCGUAGAUAUUGGGAAGAACACCGUGGCGUAGGCGGCGAC